UUCGUCUAGAAGAAGGGGAAAAAUAGAGCUCUCUAUGCGUCUGAGGCAUCAAAAGCCAUGACAGAUCACCUCAGGCUUCAGCGUUUGUCAACCUAAGUUGAGCGUGACUAGGUCAUUUCCUUGUAACAUUAAACUGACGCAUGUCCGUGCCAGCAGCCACAAGGCCGGCACAGCCAUAAGGUCGUCAGGGAGGCGCUUCUGUUGCCUCCGAAGGCGUCAACUAGCCAAAUUAUUCGAACCUUGUUGGGCAUUACAUUGUGGAGCAAAUACGGUCCAUUUUCUGCGCUUUUCCGGAAAGACUCCUUCUUGUUGCAAUGCAUGGUACGACAGUCAAGCCCGGUUCGCUGCAGCCUGCGGGGGGAGGACUAGGGGAAGUUGGUGGUUUGGAAAGCAGUGCUCGGUCCCAGUGAAGAAGGAAAAGGUAAUCGGUUGUACGCUAGUGACAAAAGAUUAGGGAACCCUGAGGUCACAUUCUCAGACCAAGGCGGUCUUCAUUGUACAACCAUGUGCGAACGUCUGUUGGCACGCAAAGAGUCUCCGCGACGCCGGGCAUGUGCACAAUCCAUUGCAGGAACUCUGCGAUGAGACAGCAAACAAACCCUUAAUAACAUAUUGAGGAAGUUGGUUCUCUUGAAACGAGUGGACGCCGUACAACUCAAAGACGGGCAUAUUUGUAUGUAUACAGCAUCGGGAUUCCGUUUAUUGUGCUCGGAAAGGAAUGACUCGGAUGUCAUCGGCCAGCGGGUUAGUCCGCUGUUCUUGUAUACUUCUGUUUGUCCCCGGAGGUCUUGAAAUAAACAUGCCUACCAUCUUGGUUUCGUUCAUCGUGUGCGUCGCUUACCAUUAUACCACAGUAACUUCUGAUUGUCUUCUACAUGAAACUGCCUGAGAGAGGAUCACCGACCAAGCGACAGCGUUGCUUACACCCGGAAACCCUCCGAUAGACUGAAGCGCGGGUUUGUUUUCAUCAGGUGAGCUGGGACAGCUUACUGGAUCGCCGCAUCAGCCCAGGCCUCCAAAAUUCCAUAUGCUGCUCUGGAAGGUAAGGCAUGCCGACAGUUGGAGACAGAACUGUUGUUUCUGUGUGUUGGACGUGCGCGUAACUCGCUUUCUUCUUUUUCGGAGGCUAAAGGCACCUCUCCUAAAACAAGCUUGAAAACCCUGCGUGCAGUGCCACCGUUAGACGUCCAAAGGGUUCUAUUCCGAAUUCGAUGAGUUUUAUAUGGAGACGAUGGUCACAUCUGGUACUGUUUCCGUGAAUUUGAUUCUUUGGCAGAUGCCUUUCACUCACUUGCUGAUUUCGUCUUCUGUAUGCCUCUCAAGAACAACUCUGAAUCACCACAUUGUGCAACGCAAAGGCGCUCUGCUCUUCAUCAUACGGCAAUUCGAGGAUUUCCCGUGCGGUGAGGACAAAAACUUGGUCGCACCGAACACCAUCCCUUACGGCUGAAGCCUGGUCUUCCUGAGAUGUUCAGAGCUAUCUUGUCAAAAUUUGGCAGUUCUAGACGCAAAUCGCUUCGGUAACUGGUUGCGUCUGCCAUAAAACCGUCACUCGCAAGCUUCUUGGAGAGCCAGACGAUCGUCGUAUGGCAGCCAUGCUCUUAUCAGCACAUCUGCCCCACCCAACUGUGUGAAUCGGUUAACUCACUGGGUGAUCAGCUGUAUUUCGGACAGGCAAAGAUGUAAACAUAUCGUACUUCGACAAUUGUGGAAUUCAUGGCAUUCUAAACAUCCGUUGAUAGAUGUCGGGGAGCAUAAUGCUUGGCGUCUGCGAACGGAGCCGACCCAGGAGAAUCCAGUCUCGUUAUGCGAGCAACUGUUUCGUCAAGCUGUCAAUUCAUCUUUUGUGUGAGCGACGAACUUUGCUUUGAACUCUUCGCUGUUCCAGU
Molecule: long non-coding RNA, 1889 nt
Filed under: Toxoplasma gondii VEG
Lineage: Eukaryota; Apicomplexa; Conoidasida; Eucoccidiorida; Sarcocystidae
Source: RNAcentral